CCCGUUGCUGGUGUCUUGCCUUCCCAAUUGGUGGGAGAGGGUGGCGUUCGUGCUUUCCAGCUUCACAAUUUGCGGAAUUCAGCACGUCCAAUUCUGCCUGAACCACUUCUCCUCAGAGGUGUAUGUCGGACCGCCAAAGGGGAAUGACUGGUUUGAGAAGCAGACAGCGGGCACGCUUGACAUCUUGUGCUCCCCGUGGAUGGAUUGGUUCCACGGCGGUCUACAAUUCCAGAUUGAGCACCAUCUGUUUCCCCGCCUACCUCGGUGCCACCUUAGGAAGGUCGCGCCCUACGUACGUGAUCUUUGCAAGAAGCACGGGCUGACUUACUCUGCAGCCUCAUUCUGGGACGCAAAUGUGCUUACAUGGAAGACACUGAGGGCUGCUGCAUUGCAGGCUAGGAACGCUGCAAGUGGUGCUGCGCCCAAGAAUUUGGUCUGGGAGGCUUUAAACACCC
RNAcentral lists this long non-coding RNA (455 nucleotides) under Setaria viridis. Its description in RNAcentral is "long non-coding RNA (SVIR_LNC002046)". Lineage: Eukaryota; Viridiplantae; Streptophyta; Magnoliopsida; Poales; Poaceae. The record is from RNAcentral.